GAUCGAAGAUGGCAGAUUUUACCUCCCUGACUACAGUGGAGUACAUUGAAGCCGAUAACUCUAUCUCACUGUAUCUGGCAGUGGAAUAGAUUGAAGAUUGCAGAUCUUGCCUUCCUGUAUUAGGCAGCGAAGCAGAUCGAAGAUGGCAGAUUUUACCUCCCUGACCACAGUGGAGUACACUGAAGCCGAUAAUUCUAUCUCCCUGUAUUUGGCAGUGGAAUAGAUUGAAGAUUGCAGAUCUUGCCUUCCUAUAUUUGGCAGCGAAGCAGAUCAAAGAUGGCAGAUUUUACCUCCCUGACCACAGUGGAGUACAUUGAAGCCGAUAACUCUAUCUCCCUGUAUCUGGCAGUGGAAUAGAUUGAAUAUUGCAGAUCUUGCCUUCCUGUAUUCGGCAGCGAAGCAGAUUGAAGAUGGCAGAUUUUACCUCCCUGACCACAGUGGAGUACAUUGAAGCCGAUAACUCUAUCUCCCUGUAUCUGGCAGUGGAAUAGAUUGAAUAUUGCAGAUCUUGCCUUCCUGUAUUCGGCAGCGAAGCAGAUCGAAGAUGGCAGAUUUUACCUCCCUGACUACAGUGGAGUACAUUGAAGCCGAUAACUCUAUCUCACUGUAUCUGGCAGUGGAAUAGAUUGAAGAUUGCAGAUCUUGCCUUCCUGUAUUAGGCAGCGAAGCAGAUCGAAGAUGGCAGAUUUUACCUCCCUGUGACUACAGUGGAGUACAUUGAAGCCGAUAACUCUAUCUCCCUGUAUCUGGCAG
RNAcentral lists this long non-coding RNA (753 nucleotides) under Gossypium barbadense (sea-island cotton). Its description in RNAcentral is "long non-coding RNA (GBAR_LNC007262)". Lineage: Eukaryota; Viridiplantae; Streptophyta; Magnoliopsida; Malvales; Malvaceae. The record is from RNAcentral.